UACCCUGGGGGACCACAGCAUGCUAAAAAGUCAAGAACAAAGUGGACAGCCCAAUCCGGCACUUUCUACACGACCAACACUGAUAGAAAACCAGGGCUGUGUCAUUCGGCUAGAGCCGAACCAGAGGUGUGUCUCUCUAUUUGGAUAGUUCUUCCUUCUGAAAUCCAAAAGUUGGGAUGUGGUAAACUUCUCAGAUCCUGCUUCUCAAUAUGGUAUUUUACAUGUGUUCUCUAAAAAUACUUUUUCACCUUCUCAGCUUAUAUCAGAGCAAUUUAGCACCAUUUGAUUAGAACGCCCAGCCCUUCUUUGUAGCCAGCCUGGACUGUCCUCCCCGUCUGGAGUCAUUUUGGCUGCAAAGUGAGGUCUCAGCGGGGUCAGCUGGGUGUCCAGACGUCAGGUAUCAGGCGUGUGGUGAGCGCCUCCAAGGCCACUUUCCUCUCAGCAAUGCCCACUAGGUGACGCCUGUGAAUGGAGUAGCUUUCCAGAGAGCAGGCUUCCUCUCUUCCUUCCUUCCCAGGCCCACAUCUUGCCUCGAAGAUGCUUAAGUGGCAGGAUCCUGAAGAAAUUAUUCUCUGCCUGUUGCUUAGAGAGAGGGCACGUGAGGAUCUCAGGCAGCCAGAAUACUCUUGCGACCAGAAUACUGACAUUUCUGCUUAGUGUGUGCGAUGGUCUAAUUAUAAAAGUGGGAAAAAGCCAAAAACUGUAUAACCUGAAGAGUUUUAGAUUUCUGGGUAGGUUCAUAACUGCUUUCCAAAUGCAAACAAAAUUGCCUGAACUAAGGUGGCUUCUGAUCGUCCUGGGGUGGUAAUCUGAAUACGUGAGCAUUCUGGAAGGAGAUUGGAGACAGGUGUGACUGGAGGCAGGUGUGAUUCUUUUGAGUAUAACAGCGGUUCCCAGACUGGAGUGUGCGUCAGAAUCAACUGCAGGUAUUAUGAAACCACAGAUUUCUGGGUCCCACUCCCAGAGUUCCUGAUUUGGAAAGUCUUGGAUGAGGUCUGAGAAUCUGCAUUUCUUACAAGUUCCCAGGUGAUGCUAAUGCGGCUGGUCUGGGGACCUCACCUAGAGAACCUCUGCAGGACAGCGUUCUGUUAACAAUAAGUUUCCAAUGCGCCACCACCCACCGGAAAAAGAGCACACAGUGACUGACAAGGUACAUAUUUUGCUGGCUCUUCGUGGAGGCGAGACUAGGAAGACCGUGAAUGAAAGUAUCAAAUAUUCUAAAGCACAUGUGGAUUAAGUUGGUGAAAGACGAAUUUUAUCUCCUUCAUGAGUUAAUGUCUUCUUUGAAAAAAAUUAGAAACUUUACCAGGAGGUUUUUGAAUGCCUCAAAGUCUACAGACACGUGGUCAAAAUGAUAAAAGACAUGUUUUCUUAUCUGAACGCAGUGACAUCUUAAAAGGUUUCCUUUGUUGUAUUUAAACUUGCAUGUCAAAAAAUUAUUCUCUGCAUACA
This 1452-nucleotide long non-coding RNA is filed under the name Equus caballus (horse). RNAcentral's name for it is "lncRNA (ENSECAG00000045047.1)". The record is from RNAcentral. Lineage: Eukaryota; Metazoa; Chordata; Mammalia; Perissodactyla; Equidae.